Molecule: long non-coding RNA, 711 nt
Filed under: Homo sapiens (human)
Lineage: Eukaryota; Metazoa; Chordata; Mammalia; Primates; Hominidae
Description: uncharacterized LOC105377253, transcript variant 7 (LOC105377253)
Source: RNAcentral
AGUCUUUUGUGAGAGGCAGGGCUUGUAGGCAUAUUUCAGUGGGUCCACUUAUUAAAGAAGCCUACAUUUUUCUCCAUAUAUUCUAAGAAACACCUGUUUCAUCAUAGGUCUGAGCAGACAGACAGAAGCCAGCACAACUGCAGGAGAAAUGAAAUGAGGUUCUAAGCCACCUUACAGCUUAUAUUGGCCCCACCAGUCUUUUUGUUCAUUGGUUACGUGAGUCAAAUUUAUAUCCCUAAAUCCGGAAUAUGCUGCCUCCAGAAUCCAAAGAAGCCUGAGAAGCAUGGUGAUUCCUUCUUAGUGGUGGAAAGAAUGAGUUAUACACAAGAUGAAUGGAUUAACCACUGGAAGACCUGCACUACUACAAAUGUUAAAGAAAGUCCUUCCAAGAAAGAAAAAAGGCAACUUAAUGGAAACUUGUGUCUACCAAAUGGAAAGAAGAGCAAUGGGAAUCCUAACUACGGUACACUGAAGAACACUUUUGCAGCUGACUAACAACUCUUGAUAUUGAGAAAGUUAUCAGAAUUAUUUGCAAAUCUCCUCUCAGAUUUGCAAAGGAUGCUGGCAUUUCUCCAUGAGGCAGGUAUACAAGCAACAUUUUGUGAAAUUGUUUGUCUGACAAAAUUGUGUGAAAUUUUCCAGAAUUAAAACAGCAUGUAAAAUUUAACUUCUAUAACUUUCUUUAAAAUAAAGGAAAACUGAAUGUGAUUA